This 468-nucleotide ribosomal RNA is filed under the name uncultured bacterium. RNAcentral's name for it is "partial 16S ribosomal RNA". It matches the Rfam family "Bacterial small subunit ribosomal RNA", at positions 28 to 507 of the family's 1533-position model. The record is from RNAcentral.
GACGAACGCUGGCGGCGUGCUUAACACAUGCAAGUCGAACGGAAAGACCCUGCUUUUGUGGGGUGCUCGAGUGGCGAACGGGUGAGUAACACGUGAGUAACCUGCCCUUGACUUUGGGAUAACUUCAGGAAACUGGGGCUAAUACCGGAUAGGAGCUCCUGCUGCAUGGUGGGGGUUGGUAAGUUUCGGCGGUUGGGGAUGGACUCGCGGCUUAUCAGCUUGUUGGUGGGGUAGUGGCUUACCAAGGCUUUGAAGGGUAGCCGGCCUGAGAGGGUGACAGGCCACAUUGGGACUGAGAUACGGCCCAGACUCCUACGGGAGGCAGCAGUGGGGAAUAUUGCACAAUGGGCGGAAGCCUGAUGCAGCAACGCCGCGUGCGGGAUGACGGCCUUCGGGUUGUAAACCGCUUUCGCCUGUGACGAAGCGUGAGUGACGGUAAUGGGUAAAGAAGCACCGGCUAACUACGUG